This 253-nucleotide ribosomal RNA is filed under the name uncultured bacterium. RNAcentral describes it as "partial 16S ribosomal RNA". It matches the Rfam family "Bacterial small subunit ribosomal RNA", at positions 524 to 776 of the family's 1533-position model. The record is from RNAcentral.
UACGUAGGGUGCAAGCGUUAAUCGGAAUUACUGGGCGUAAAGCGUGCGCAGGCGGUUAUGUAAGACAGAUGUGAAAUCCCCGGGCUUAACCUGGGAACUGCGCUUCUAACUGGCAGGCUUGAGUGUGGCAGAGGGGGGUGGAAUUCCACGUGUAGCAGUGAAAUGCGUAGAGAUGUGGAGGAACACCGAUGGCGAAGGCAGCCCCCUGGGCUAACACUGACGCUCAUGCACGAAAGCGUGGGGAGCAAACAGG